RNAcentral lists this ribosomal RNA (464 nucleotides) under Vreelandella stevensii. RNAcentral describes it as "partial 16S ribosomal RNA". It matches the Rfam family "Bacterial small subunit ribosomal RNA", at positions 338 to 794 of the family's 1533-position model. The record is from RNAcentral. Lineage: Bacteria; Pseudomonadati; Pseudomonadota; Gammaproteobacteria; Oceanospirillales; Halomonadaceae.
CCUACGGGGCGCAGCAGUGGGGAAUAUUGGACAAUGGGCGAAAGCCUGAUCCAGCCAUGCCGCGUGUGUGAAGAAGGCCUUCGGGUUGUAAAGCACUUUCAGUGGGGAAGAAAGCCUUGGGGCUAAUACCCUCGAGGAAGGACAUCACCCACAGAAGAAGCACCGGCUAACUCCGUGCCAGCAGCCGCGGUAAUACGGAGGGUGCGAGCGUUAAUCGGAAUUACUGGGCGUAAAGCGCGCGUAGGCGGUCUGAUAAGCCGGUUGUGAAAGCCCCGGGCUCAACCUGGGAACGGCAUCCGGAACUGUCAGGCUAGAGUGCAGGAGAGGAAGGUAGAAUUCCCGGUGUAGCGGUGAAAUGCGUAGAGAUCGGGAGGAAUACCAGUGGCGAAGGCGGCCUUCUGGACUGACACUGACGCUGAGGUGCGAAAGCGUGGGUAGCAAACAGGAUUAGAUACCCGAGUAUC